GCCGUAAUAAUAUAGUGGUUAGUAUAUCAGUUUGUGGCACUGAAGACCGAGGUUCGAUUCCUCGUUACGGCA
This 72-nucleotide transfer RNA is filed under the name Trichoderma reesei QM6a. Its description in RNAcentral is "tRNA-His (GTG) (tRNA-His-GTG-1-1)". It matches the Rfam family "tRNA". From Rfam's summary of the family: Transfer RNA (tRNA) molecules are approximately 80 nucleotides in length. The record is from RNAcentral. Lineage: Eukaryota; Fungi; Ascomycota; Sordariomycetes; Hypocreales; Hypocreaceae. RNAcentral also lists the same sequence under 2 other names.